AGGCGCGUAGCCCAGUUGGUUAGAGCGCUACCUUGACACGGUAGAGGUCGGCGGUUCGAGCCCGCCCGCGCCUA
Molecule: transfer RNA, 74 nt
Filed under: Acidobacteriota bacterium
Lineage: Bacteria; Pseudomonadati; Acidobacteriota
Also listed under: 8 other names
Description: Acidobacteria bacterium (groundwater metagenome) tRNA-Val
Rfam family: tRNA
About the family: Transfer RNA (tRNA) molecules are approximately 80 nucleotides in length.
Source: RNAcentral